This 9149-nucleotide long non-coding RNA is filed under the name Malus domestica (apple). RNAcentral's name for it is "long non-coding RNA (MDOM_LNC010081)". Lineage: Eukaryota; Viridiplantae; Streptophyta; Magnoliopsida; Rosales; Rosaceae. The record is from RNAcentral.
AAGAAUGCCAUGCUCGGGGGUGCAUUGACAGGGGCUCUAGUAUCUGCAGCCAGCAAAGAGAACAAGGAUAAAAUUCUGGUGGAUGCAAUUACAGGAGGUGCCAUUGCGACCGCUGCGGAAUUCAUCAACUAUCUCACCUGAACAUGGACGUAAUAUUCUACCCGAUCUCUCUGUAGAUCCUGGAGAACUAUGAGUAGGUUUCUCGUGUCAUCUUCCUCAUGAAUUCGUAGAGCAUUGUAUAAAGAAUGUUCAAGGGUUCAUCUAAACUACUGAAACAUACAAUGAAUUAUGAAUCUUCUGUUUUUAUCAUUCUUGAGCAAUAUGUUCGAUGCUUUUUUUUUUUUUUUUGUGACAAAAGAUAACGUUAAUGGGUUAAAUAGAUAGUUGUUAGGAGGAAAAGAAUCGGUAGGGAUCAAACAUGCUCCAUGGAACAAAUGCAUAACUGUUUUCCGCUACUGCGAGAAAGUGCGAAUAUGUUAGAUGCUUACUGAUGCAAAGAUUGCUAUGAAUUUGUUGCAUUCGCCAAAGAAAAAAAACAACCGAUGCCCCAUCGAUCGUAUUAUCUUCUAUUUACAAAAUUGGUAUUCAAAUAUGCAAAUCAACAUCUAUAUAAUUUAGAUUAGUUUGGUACAGACAGACUAAAACUUGUGCAAAAAAACAAUUGUAUUGUUAUAAGAACUAUGAUAUAUGCCACAUCAAUUACAUAUAAAAAUGUGAAUAAUAAGUCAAAGUGCUUAAAACCCCAAUAUUCUUUUAAAAGUAAAAUGUGCUUGAAAAAGAAACUCCAAUGUGCAUAGAAAAAUGCAUGACAGAGAACAUGCUCAACAACAAUAGGGAUUUGGUUUAUGGUGCCUCGUAAAUUGGAAAUUUCAACUUUGUAUUUUGGGUAUAGAGCUACCUGGCUUUACGGAGACCGUUCCUCUUUAAUCUGCACUAGAUCACUAUAUAAUAAGCCUUGCAUGGUUAUUGUUCUUUGCAUCAGCGUUUGAGAUCUCUCUUAUUAUACACAAGCACACACAUAGAAACACACAGAUCAAGCACACACUUACAUACACAUGGAUUCAAAUGGAGCGUUCAAUGCGUCUUGUUUCAGCUGCUUUCGUUCUUGUCUUACUUUUGGCCGCUACCGGUAAUUAUACCUCUUUUAUUUAAUAAUUAAAAGAUAGGCAGAUAAUAGUUCAUUUUGUUUCAUCCUCAUAUUUUCAAACUCACAAAGCAAACUUUGAAGUUUAACAUACCUUGCAUGUUCAUCGCCGCAAAAUUCCUCUUGAAGUAGAUCCCAAGCACCCUUGGGUGUCUCUUGAUUCACGAUCCGAGGGAAGAUCUCUUUAGACACAGCGCUCUGAAUGAUUCCCAGUGCAUUAGCGUCUUUCAUAAGUUGAUCAUCCAUGUGAGUAUCAAACUCAUUGUUGUCUUCUUCAUCAUCGUCUGAUGAGGGUGAGUCUUCCUUCUUCUUUGUUUUUCCUCUUUCCUUCUUCUUCUUCUAUUCUGGAGUAACAAUUCCUUUGUCUACCAGUUUCCAAAUCCCAUAUGAUUUGAAAAUGGUGACCAUUCUCACUUUCCAGAAUUCGAACUCCGUUCCAUAAAAAACGGGAGCUCGUAAAUCGUUGCUUCCAAACCCAGUCAUUGUAGCUUGAAUUAGAAUGAAAUCUAGAGAUUUCAUGUUGGAUUAUCUCUCAAAAUUUCACAGAAACCGACGCCCAAUCCGACAUCGAACCUAGGCUUUGGAUACCAUGUUAGAAUCUGUAAAAGUUUGGUAGUAUUUGCAGCAAUUCAAAAUAGAGAGAAAGAACUUAGAGAGAAGAAAAUGAAGAGAUAUAAGGAGAGUGAUCAAAAUCUCAGAAAGAGCCAAUGUGCUCUUCUGUGUGCAUUUUCAUUUUAUCACAACUGAACAAAAAAUAACUAUUACAAAGGGAGAGAAUCUAGGAGAGCCUAUUAGCUCAUCCAUCCCUUCAUUACAAGAACCUAUGAGAUCUUGACAUUUGCUCACAUCUGAGCCUAAUACAUUAAGAGCUAUUCUCAACCCUUGAUUUCUAACAGCUCAUUUCAUAAAGACUAACAACUUGAUAAAAUAAAGAAAAUAACAGUUUAGACCUUAAUCAACCAACAAAACUUUCAUUUUUCUCAAUCUUGUAGUGUCUUUCCUUCUUCGUUAGACUAUUUAUAUUACGUGUUUGCUUAGUUGGAAUAGGGGAAGUUGCGAAUUCGAGAAAGAAAAGAAGGAAUGUGAAUGAGAUUUUCUUUUCUUUUUUGUGAAAAUAAAAUUUACAACAAGAACUCCGUCCUUAAUAAGUUCAUUUGCCACUAAGUUUGCGUUAUUGAACACAUGUCGAAACAAUGACAUUGUUUGUACCAUACUUAAGGCCUCCGUAUUUAGAUCUCGUAUAAAUACUCGGGGGACUUAAAUGUAAUUAUGUAAUAAAGGAAGUGACAAAUAUGUAAUAUGUGAGGAGCCCUUAUUCUAUAAAAGGACCCAUCACUCUCCUCGUUAAGGGAGGCCAAUUCUUAGGCCUGACCACCUUCUCAGAGGCUCUCUCCCUCACAAUCCUCUCAAAGAAAUACAAUAUCAGUGUGGACGUAGCCCAAACAUUGGGGUGAACCACGAUACAUCUUGUGUUAUUUACUUUCUUGCAGAUUCACGGUCAGAUUUACAUUGUUCCAAGACCUCCGGUUUUGUUCAUCAACAUUUGGCGCCAUCUUUGGGAAUCAACACGAAAAGCUAUGUCGGUUCUCUCUCAAAUUUUCAUACCACCACCGUGAAUCUGCAAAAUCACAAAAAUCCAAAAAACCAAAUCUCUCUCUUUCUCCUCUCUCGGUUAGUCAUACACAUAAACCAAAACAAAAAAGAAAUAAAAAAACUCUAAAAGGCUGGUCCUUCUCAAGUGUAAAGACUGAAGAGCCACAAUCAAAUGGAUUCCCAUUCCCAUCUACCCCAACCUCCAUCGUCGCCAUCAUCACCGUCGGCACAUCCACAGCCCUAAAUCCCACCUCCCACAAUUCAUCUGAAAAUACCCAACACUAAUCACAAUUUCCAACAACCAUGAAGGUCAUUUUGGUCAUAGUCUCACUCUUGCUCUUCAACUCCCUCCUCCUCUGCUACUCCAUUGAAGACAACGUCGCAUGCCUCGAGGGCGUCAAGUCAUCGUUCACCGAUCUAGAAGGGCGGCUGAGCCAAUGGGACCUUGCCAACAGGUUGGUGACCUCCAUCUGCAAGCUGGUUGGCGUUACCUGUUGGAAUGAGAAGGAGAAUCGCCUCAUCAGCCUCCAGCUCCCGUCAAUGUAGCUCGUCGGCAAGCUCCUGAAGUCUCUCAAGUUCUACCACAGCCUCCAGAGCUUGGAUCUCUUUGGUAACUCUCUCUCCGGUUCGAUUCCUCCCCAAAUCUGCAACUGGCUUCCAUACCUCGUAACCCUAGAUGUUUCUGGCAACUCUCUCUUCGGUUCGAUCCCGCCGGAGAUCGCCAAUUGUAAGUUCCUCAACACUCUAAUUUUGAACGACAAUCGCCUCUCCGGUACCAUGCUCAAUCUUAGUCGCCAGAUGGCAGCCCUCGAGGGCACAAAGGCCGCCUACUGCACGUCCUCAGGGAUGUCAACCAUAUCCUCCAUCCUGCUCCAGCUCGUCAACAGCGGGGAACACAUCGUAGCCUCAAGAACCGUCUACGGAGGGACCCAUGCCCUCAUGUCUCACUUCUUCCCCAGGGCAUGCAACAUAACGACGACAUUUGUGGACAUCAACGACAUGGACAUGGUGAAGAAUGCUAUUGAGGCUGGGAAGACCAAGGUACUCUAUUUCGAAGGCAUGUCGAACCUAACUCUCAUCGUCGCCAACAUACCGAAGCUCAGCCGUAUCGGCUACGAGAAGGGGGUCAAGAUUGUGGUGGACAACAUAUUUUCUCUCAUGGUUCUAUCUCCGGUGAAACUUGGUGCUGACGUUGUUGUUCACAGCAUUUCCAAGUUUAUUAGCGGUGGUGUUGAUAUUAUUGCAGGUGUUGUGUGCGGACCUGCAAACCUGGUGAACUCAAUGAUGGAUCUACACAAAGGCUCCUUGAUGCUCCUGGGUCCCACAAUGAAUGUCAAUGUGGCAUUUGAGCUCUUUGAGAGGAUUCCCCACCUAGGGUUGAGAAUGAAGGAGCACUACCACAGGGCAAUGGUUUAUGCCUAAAGGAUGAAGAAGAUGUGCGAAAACAAAUUUGAAACUUUGUAUUUUGAUAUGAAUACGGGAGCUAAGAUCCUAUCUGUUGGUCUUGGAACAUGGAAAGCUGAACCAGGCGUGGUCGGUCAAGCUGUCAUCGCAGCAGUCAAGAAUGGCUACAGGCAUAUUGACUAUGCAUCAGUACAGUGUGGCGUCACAACAAUGAUGUUUGGAUCUGCAAUGGUCCUCUUCCCAACUUGAUUGGGUUACAACGAAGAAGAUAAGUUUUUUUAUUAUUAAUCAUAUUAUUAUUGUCUGCCAUCUGCCAAAAGAAAAAAGAGAAAGAACAGGAGUGGGAGAAACAAAAGCAGAAAAGAAAAAGAAAAAGAAAGGCUGCAGAUGAGUAUGUCUGCAGGUGAAAAGAAAAAGCAUGCAUUUAUCCCCCAGAUUCCACCACAAAAGCACAUGGGUAAAGGAUGGGUACCUCAGAUUCAAAGCCACUAAUGCAAUUUGACUCCACCACUAGUCCUACGCACCUCAGAUCCCAUCUCUGCGAAUAACACUGGAAAAGCAAAAGUAGAAAGUAAAAGAGGGAAUUAUAGGCGUGACCCAUUGAGCAGAGGGUCGGAUUUAUUUUUGAAUGAUAUAAAUUUUUUUUCGUAUCUUUCGGAGAUAUCUGUAUAACCCCAUCAGAGGGUAAUAAUAAAAAAAUAAAAAAUAAAAAAUAAAAAAACGGCAAGCUCAAAAUAAUGGGCUGGAAUGUUAUGUGGGGUGCGAAGGCCCAUAUGCCCAAAAGAGCCAGGCCCUUUAUUAUCACCAACCAGGUGAUCAAAAGUACGUCCAGUACUACAAAAAUUAUUCGGCACCCCGCCACUAUUAUCACUAACCAGGUGAUCAAAAGUACGCCCAGUACUCUAAAAAAUUAUUCGGCAGCCUGUCGCUAUUAUCACCAACCAGGUGAUCAAAAGUACGUCCAGUACUCCAAAAUUAUACAUGAGCAUCACUCAUGUCAAUCAUAAAUAAACAUUUCAUGAGCAUCACUCAUGUCAAUCAUACAUAAACAUUUCAUAACCAUCAUUCAUGAGCAUCACUCAUGUCAACAUUCAUGAGCAUCACUCAUGUCAACAUCCAUGAGCAUCACUCAUGUCAAUCAACAUAAACAUUCAUGAGCAUCACUCAUGUCAAUCAGCUUCAAAAGCUUCAUUUACAGAGUUCUAGCUUCAAAAGCUUCAUUUACAGAGCUCUAGCUUCGAAAACUUCAUUUACAAAAGCUCCAGCUUCGAAAGCUUCAUUUACAGAGCUCUAGCUUCAAAAGCCUCAUUUACAGAGCCCUAACUUCAAAGUUUCAACUUGCAAAGCUUCACCUACAAAGCUUCAGUGCAGGGUAUACAAAUACCGCCUCCAAACAACCGCCACUUCGGCCCAUACAUGGAUUCAAUUUGAAGUCUCCAGCCAACAGACUCUAUUGACCGAAGAUUUGGGGGACUACAUUAUGUACCAUAUAUUGGGCCUCAACUGGGUCUCAUAAAAAAUACUUCGGGAACUUAGCCCAUUAUUUAUGUAUUGAGGAGCGAGCCCUUAUUCUAUAAAAGGGACUCCCUCACUUUCAUUAGAGAGCACCCAUUAUUCAUGUAUUGAGGAGCGAGCCCUUAUUCCAUAAAAGGGACUCCCUCACUUUCAUUAGAGAGCACCCAUCACUUAUGUAUUGAGGAGCGAGCCCUUAUUCUAUAAAAGGGACUCCCUCACCUUCAUUAGAGAGCAUCGCCGCCUGCUGAGCAACCGCCUCGCCGCGAGCACCAACUCUAGCCCUUCAUUUUUUGUAUUGAGGAGCGAGCCCUUAUUCUAUAAAAAUGACUCCCUCACCUUUAACGCCACAAGCCGAGCCAACCAAGGCAACAUAAGCCACAAGCAGAGUAGCCUCGCAACAUGUGCUACUUCUAGUUGAGCAUCAUUUUAGAUUGAGCACUGCCUCAUAUCGAGUAUUCAGUUCUAGACAACAUCUAGUUACUUCGCCCACACAUAGACUGAAUUUCAAGUAUCCAGCCAAAAGACUCUCUUGACUGAAGACUUAAGGGACUACUGUUUGUACCAUACUUAGGGCAUCAGUAUUUAGACCUCGUAUAAAUACUCAAGGGACUUAAAUGUAAUUAUGUAAUAAAGGAAUGGCAAAUAUGUAAUAAGUGAGGAGCCAUUAUUCUAUAAAAGGACCUCACUUUCCUCAUUAAGGGAGGCCAAUUCUUAGGCCUGACCCUCACCCUCUCAAAGCCUUACUCUCAUAGGCUCUCUCCCUCACAAUCCUCUAAGAGAAAUACAAUAUCAGUGUGGAUGUAGCCCAAACAUUAGGGUGAACCACGAUACAUCUUGUGUUAUUUACUUUCUUGCAGAUUCACGGUCAGAUUUACGUUGUUCCAAGACCUCUGGUUUUGUGCAUCAACAAACAUAAACCCUUUCAAUACGUUUAGAAGAGCAAAAGUUCUCAAGAAAGGGAAAUGACAAUGAGAUCAACUAGGUGGGUUGAUUUUAGACUUCUCUGCUGUGUCAAUCAUGAAUUUUAAGAUGGUUUUUGCUACGUUUUGGACACCGCUAAUACAAGUUGGGUUGAGGUCUAAAGUUAAGCGGGCAAAUUCUAAAUCAAACAUUGUAAUGAGCAAGUGAUGAUCUAAAGCAAUUACAAAGUCCAAACCUUAACCUUCUCCCUAAGUUUAGCUCACACCCUCACACAUUACAUUUACAUUAAGCAACAACUACAACUUUUAUUCAUUCAUUUAAUUCUUCUUUUUGGGGAAUGAAAAAACAAUUAUAGCUUGAGAAAAUGUGCCAGUAGCAUAUGCUAUAUGCUGGUACACUAAAUGUUACAAUACGAAUUGUUGAAUACUUGGGGAAAAUUUUUCUAAUUGCUUGUAUUAUGACAUUUGGUGUAUCGAACCAUGUUCACAGCACAAUAAAAACAAAUAUUAUUAAAAAGAAAUGAAAAAUGUCAUUUGCAAUCAAAGCAAAUACCAAUUUUACACAUGAACUUGAUCCACCGGCACCGCCUGAUGCAAUUAAUGCUGCAUUGCAUGGCAUCUUCCGAUGGCAUUCUCGUAAAUGUCUCGUCACUGAUAAAUAUCGUAUCACAAAACACCCCCACCAAUUUUGUCAUCAGUGUUAGUCACAGAGAGAGAGAGAGUGAGGAGACAGAGAAAGAAGAAGAAGAUGCCGAGAAGCAGUUUCUCAGGGGCGCUUACAGGGCCGCAAGUCGACGUGGUCAUCGACUUGGGAAACCCCUUGCUCAACCACAUCGUCGAUGGCUUCUUGAAGAUCGGAACCGUACGAUUUUUCAACUUUUCUUUUCUUUCUUUAAAUUAUCUUCAACAUUUUUUUUUAAAAUUUUUUUUUUUUUCGGUUCAGUAUUUCACUUCUGGGUUUUGAUAGUUGCAAUGGCAAGGUUUAGAAUCAAACGGUAUCGUUUUGUUGGUUUGAUUUCAGGUUGCUGCUACCAGAGCUGUUGCAGAGGAUGCUUUCUCUGCGGCCAAGAAAAGUAAUGUUAUUUAUCAUUGCGCUCCAACUGUUUGGUUCCCGAUCGAGAAACACUGAGAAAAUGAGGAGUGGGAAAGUUUUAAAUUUCAUAUGUUGAUCAUAUUGUGCUUGCAGUCUGAUGAUGAUGAUUGUAUUUAUUUGGUUGUUGAAUAAGAUUUUUGGGUUUUACUUUAGUUUUUUUAAUUACAUUUACUAAAAAUGUGAGGUGAUUUUUGCAGGGAGCAUUUCGACUAGCGACUUUAAGCACACUGUAAGUAACCAGCACAGUCCCUUGUUUAAUUAAUUCGGUUUUUCGAUUUUGUGCUUUCUUGUAUGAUCUGAGAUUAGUAGCUACUCUUAACCUUGACAUUGAGCUUGAAAGUACCGAUCUUGCUGGUUUAGGUAGUUUAGUUUGUUUUGUUUUGUUUUGUUUGAUUUGUGAUCGGCCUUUGGUUCCCUUGUAAGCGAAAACAAUAUUAGUAGCUACUUUCAGUUAAUUCAGCAUCUUCAGUUGUUGCUCAGUUGAUUUUGUUUAGUGGGAUCUAUUGCUUUCUGGAGGUCUGUCUUAUACUGUGGUAAUUUGUUGAAGAGGUGAUAGGUUGUUUAUUCAUAGAAGAAAGUUGGGAUGCAACACAAUUUCCGAAUCCUGCUAAUUGCGAGUACUGUUUCUUGCAGUUGAAGAAGAUGUGUAAAGAAGGUGCAUAUUGGGGUAAGUUGAGUCGUAUUUCAUUGUGUGUUAGAUGUAUGUAUGGAUGCGAUUGUGCUCGUCCUCCGGGAAAAUUGCUUCAGCUUCCUCACUUUUGCAAAUUGAGAACAGCAUCAACAAUUUCUUCUAUUGCAUUGACAGGAACUGUAGCUGGACUGUACGUGGGAGCAGAGUAUGGUAUCGAGAGGGUCGGUGGACACAGAGACUGGGUAUACGUCUGUUCGAAUUCUAGAUAGCUAGUUGUACAGUGCCUGUUGGCCGUAAUUUUCUUGCUCAUUCGUCCUAGUUUGCACAUGAAGCUUCUAGAUUUGGGAAAUUGUUUCAGAUUGUCUACUUGCUAAUUUAAAACGCUUAACCUCUAUGUUCCCUAGAUCCUCCCGUUGCCAUGAUUUGUGUAAUUGUUCGUUUUCAGUAUGCGCGGGUUGCUUCUAAAAUUACAUUCAAGCAUACAAUUUCAAGUUCGUUUUUAUUUAAUUUUCAGACUUCGAUUGGAACUUCUGCAUCUGCUCACCCUUUUUCUUCUGAUAUCCUCCAGAAGAAUGCAUUGCUCGGGGGUGCAUUGACAGGGGCUCUAGUAUCUGCAGCCAGCAAAGAGAACAAGGAUAAAGUUCUGGUGGAUGCAAUUACAGGAGGUGCCAUUGCGACCGCUGUGGAAUUCAUCAACUAUCUCACCUGAACAUGGACGUAAUAUUCUACCCGAUCUCUUUGUAGAUCCUGGAGAACUAUGAGUAGGUUUCUCGUGUCAUCUUCCUCAUGAAUUCGUAGAGCAUUGUAUAAAGAAUGUUCAAGGGUUCAUCUAAACUACUGAAGGUUGAU